GGUGGCUCAGUGGUAGAGCACUUACCUUCCAUGCAUGAGGCCCUGGGUUCAAUUCCUCAGUACCA
Molecule: non-coding RNA, 65 nt
Organism: Dipodomys ordii (Ord's kangaroo rat)
Lineage: Eukaryota; Metazoa; Chordata; Mammalia; Rodentia; Heteromyidae
Source: Rfam